Molecule: ribosomal RNA, 116 nt
Filed under: Burkholderia sp. AU15512
Lineage: Bacteria; Pseudomonadati; Pseudomonadota; Betaproteobacteria; Burkholderiales; Burkholderiaceae
Description: partial 23S ribosomal RNA
Rfam family: Bacterial large subunit ribosomal RNA
Source: RNAcentral
ACUAGAUCCCCUUGAAGGGUCGUUCGAGACCAGGACGUUGAUAGGUCAGGUGUGUAAGCGCAGUAAUGCGUUCAGCUAACUGAUACUAAUUGCCCGUAAGGCUUGAUCCUAUAACA